UUGGGUAGGGGAGCGUUGUAUAUAGGUUGAAGUCAGACCGUAAGGACUGGUGGACAGUAUACAAGUGAGAAUGCCGGUAUGAGUAACGAAAAGACAAGUGAGAAUCUUGUCCGCCGAAAGCCUAAGGGUUCCUGAGGAAGGCUCGUCCACUCAGGGUAAGUCGGGACCUAACGCGAGGCCGAAAGGCGUAGUGGAAGGACAACAGGUUGAAAUUCCUGUACCACCGAAGAUUGUUUGAGCAAUGGGGUGACACAGAAGGGCAGUGACGCGGACUGAUGGAAUAGUCCGUCCAAGCAGUGAGGCUAGUUGGUAGGCAAAUCCGCCAACUGUUAGGCUGGGCUGUGAUGGGGAGCGAAAAUUGCAGUAGCGAAGGUCAUGUACUCCGGCUGUCGAGAAAAGCCUCUAGUUAGAUCUAGGUGCCCGUACCGCAAACCGACACAGGUAGGCGAGCAGAGCAUGCUAAGGCGCGCGGAAGAACUCUCGUUAAGGAACUCGGCAAAAUGACCCCGUAACUUCGGGAGAAGGGGUGCCUCGGUAGGGUGAAUAGCCCGAGGGGGCCGCAGUGAAAAGGCCCAAGCGACUGUUUAGCAAAAACACAGGUCUGUGCGAAGCCGUAAGGCGAAGUAUACGGGCUGACGCCUGCCCGGUGCUGGAAGGUUAAGGGGAGCGGUUAGGGGUAACCCGAAGCUGUGAACCGAAGCCCCAGUAAACGGCGGCCGUAACUAUAACGGUCCUAAGGUAGCGAAAUUCCUUGUCAGGUAAAUUCUGACCCGCACGAAUGGCGUAACGACUUGGGCGCUGUCUCAACGAGAGAUCCGGUGAAAUUUUAAUACCUGUGAAGAUGCAGGUUACCCGCGACAAGACGGAAAGACCCCAUGGAGCUUUACUGCAGCUUGAUAUUGGACUUUGGUACGAUCUGUACAGGAUAGGUGGGAGCCUUUGAGGCCGGAGCGCCAGCUUCGGUGGAGGCACCGUUGGGAUACCACCCUGAUCGUAUCGGAGUUCUAACCUGGCACCGUGAAACCGGUGCAGGGACCGUGUCAGGCGGGCAGUUUGACUGGGGCGGUCGCCUCCUAAAAUGUAACGGAGGCGCCCAAAGGUUCCCUCAGAAUGGUUGGAAAUCAUUCGAAGAGUGCAAAGGCAUAAGGGAGCUUGACUGCGAGACCUACAAGUCGAGCAGGGACGAAAGUCGGGCUUAGUGAUCCGGUGGUACCGCAUGGAAGGGCCAUCGCUCAACGGAUAAAAGCUACCCUGGGGAUAACAGGCUUAUCUCCCCCAAGAGUCCACAUCGACGGGGAGGUUUGGCACCUCGAUGUCGGCUCAUCGCAUCCUGGGGCUGAAGUAGGUCCCAAGGGUUGGGCUGUUCGCCCAUUAAAGCGGUACGCGAGCUGGGUUCAGAACGUCGUGAGACAGUUCGGUCCCUAUCUGUCGCGGGCGCAGGAAAUUUGAGAGGAGCUGUCCUUAGUACGAGAGGACCGGGAUGGACGUACCGCUGGUGUACCAGUUGUUCCGCCAGGAGCACCGCUGGGUAGCCAAGUACGGACGGGAUAAGCGCUGAAAGCAUCUAAGCGUGAAGCCCCCCUCAAGAUGAGAUUUCCCAAUUAGUAAGACCCCUUGAAGACGACGAGGUUGAUAGGUUCGGGGUGGAAGCACAGCAAUGUGUG
This 1664-nucleotide ribosomal RNA is filed under the name Paenibacillus sp. 1011MAR3C5. RNAcentral's name for it is "partial 23S ribosomal RNA". It matches the Rfam family "Bacterial large subunit ribosomal RNA", at positions 1224 to 2887 of the family's 2925-position model. Lineage: Bacteria; Bacillati; Bacillota; Bacilli; Caryophanales; Paenibacillaceae. The record is from RNAcentral.